This 1343-nucleotide ribosomal RNA is filed under the name uncultured bacterium. RNAcentral describes it as "16S ribosomal RNA". It matches the Rfam family "Bacterial small subunit ribosomal RNA", at positions 28 to 1378 of the family's 1533-position model. The record is from RNAcentral.
GACGAACGCUGGCGGCGUGCUUAACACAUGCAAGUCGAACGGAAAGGCCCUGCUUUUGUGGGGUGCUCGAGUGGCGAACGGGUGAGUAACACGUGAGUAACCUGCCCUUGACUUUGGGAUAACCUCAGGAAACUGGGGCUAAUACCGGAUAGGAGCUCCUGCUGCUUGGUGGGGGUUGGAAAGUUUCGGCGGUUGGGGAUGGACUCGCGGCUUAUCAGCUUGUUGGUGGGGUAGUGGCUUACCAAGGCUUUGACGGGUAGCCGGCCUGAGAGGGUGACCGGCCACAUUGGGACUGAGAUACGGCCCAGACUCCUACGGGAGGCAGCAGUGGGGAAUAUUGCACAAUGGGCGGAAGCCUGAUGCAGCAACGCCGCGUGCGGGAUGACGGCCUUCGGGUUGUAAACCGCUUUCGCCUGUGACGAAGCGUGAGUGACGGUAAUGGGUAAAGAAGCACCGGCUAACUACGUGCCAGCAGCCGCGGUGAUACGUAGGGUGCGAGCGUUGUCCGGAUUUAUUGGGCGUAAAGGGCUCGUAGGUGGUUGAUCGCGUCGGAAGUGUAAUCUUGGGGCUUAACCCUGAGCGUGCUUUCGAUACGGGUUGACUUGAGGAAGGUAGGGGAGAAUGGAAUUCCUGGUGGAGCGGUGGAAUGCGCAGAUAUCAGGAGGAACACCAGUGGCGAAGGCGGUUCUCUGGGCCUUUCCUGACGCUGAGGAGCGAAAGCGUGGGGAGCGAACAGGCUUAGAUACCCUGGUAGUCCACGCUGUAAACGGUGGGUACUAGGUGUGGGGUCCAUUCCACGGGUUCCGUGCCGUAGCUAACGCUUUAAGUACCCCGCCUGGGGAGUACGGCCGCAAGGCUAAAACUCAAAGGAAUUGACGGGGCCCCGCACAAGCGGCGGAGCAUGCGGAUUAAUUCGAUGCAACGCGUAGAACCUUACCUGGGUUUGACAUGGAUCGGGAGUGCUCAGAGAUGGGUGUGCCUCUUUUGGGGUCGGUUCACAGGUGGUGCAUGGCUGUCGUCAGCUCGUGUCGUGAGAUGUUGGGUUAAGUCCCGCAACGAGCGCAACCCUUGUUCACUGUUGCCAGCACGUUAUGGUGGGGACUCAGUGGAGACCGCCGGGGUCAACUCGGAGGAAGGUGGGGAUGACGCCAAGUCAUCAUGCCCCUUAUGUCCAGGGCUUCACGCAUGCUACAAUGGCUGGUACAGAGAGUGGCGAGCCUGUGAGGGUGAGCGAAUCUCGGAAAGCCGGUCUCAGUUCGGAUUGGGGUCUGCAACUCGACCUCAUGAAGUCGGAGUCGCUAGUAAUCGCAGAUCAGCAACGCUGCGGUGAAUACGUUCCCGGG